RNAcentral lists this ribosomal RNA (253 nucleotides) under uncultured bacterium. RNAcentral's name for it is "partial 16S ribosomal RNA". It matches the Rfam family "Bacterial small subunit ribosomal RNA", at positions 524 to 776 of the family's 1533-position model. The record is from RNAcentral.
UACGUAGGCAGCAAGCGUUGUUCGGAAUUACUGGGCGUAAAGAGUGUGUAGGCGGUGCUCCAAGUCUGGUGUGAAAUCUCCCGGCUUAACUGGGAGGGUGCAUUAGAAACUGGAAUGCUAGAGGAUGGGAGAGGUAAGCGGAAUUCCUGGUGUAGCGGUGAAAUGCGUAGAUAUCGGGAGGAACACCUGUGGCGAAAGCGGCUCACUGGACCACAACUGACGCUGAGGCGCGAAAGCUAGGGGAGCAAACAGG